This 497-nucleotide ribosomal RNA is filed under the name uncultured bacterium. RNAcentral's name for it is "partial 16S ribosomal RNA". It matches the Rfam family "Bacterial small subunit ribosomal RNA", at positions 28 to 507 of the family's 1533-position model. The record is from RNAcentral.
GACGAACGCUGGCGGCGUGCCUAAUACAUGCAAGUAGAACGCUGAAGAGAGGAGCUUACUCUUCUUGGAUGAGUUGCGAACGGGUGAGUAACGCGUAGGUAACCUGCCUUGUAGCGGGGGAUAACUAUUGGAAACGAUAGCUAAUACCGCAUAACAAUGGAUGACACAUGUCAUUUAUUUGAAAGGGGCAAUUGCUCCACUACAAGAUGGACCUGCGUUGUAUUAGCUAGUAGGUGAGGUAAUGGCUCACCUAGGCGACGAUACAUAGCCGACCUGAGAGGGUGAUCGGCCACACUGGGACUGAGACACGGCCCAGACUCCUACGGGAGGCAGCAGUAGGGAAUCUUCGGCAAUGGGGGCAACCCUGACCGAGCAACGCCGCGUGAGUGAAGAAGGUUUUCGGACCGUAAAGCUCUGUUGUAAGUCAAGAACGGGUGUGAGAGUGGAAAGUUCACACUGUGACGGUAGCUUACCAGAAAGGGACGGCUAACUACGUG